RNAcentral lists this long non-coding RNA (411 nucleotides) under Mytilus galloprovincialis (Mediterranean mussel). Lineage: Eukaryota; Metazoa; Mollusca; Bivalvia; Mytilida; Mytilidae. The record is from RNAcentral.
CUUUGACCUUGACCUAAUUUUCAUUUUUUGGGACCAAGGACCUCAAAUCAAAAGAUCCUAGGUCUCUAUCACUUAUGAUUGAUAAGAUAGAAAUUCAUAUCACUUAUAUCAGAUGCAUAAGGGGAAAUAACUCUCAUAUGGAGCGGUCAUAUCGCUUCGGUCAAAAUAGGACAAAUCAUGCAAAGGAUAUAACGAGCAAUUUUGUAAAAUAAAUUUGUCAUAAUCUUUUACGGUUGCGAAGGAGAUGCGCUAACAAGGAAAACAGUGUUUGGGGAGAUAACUCCUACAAAGAAAAGUAUUCGUUUACGCAGGGUAAUUUCAAAAGUGCAUAAACUGUUCGAUAUCAUAUACCAAAUAUCUAAGCGACUUAUUGCGAAACAAAUGUUUAUCGCAAGAACAAAAUUAGGCGGA